UGGGGAAUCUUGCACAAUGAGGGCAACCCUGAUGCAGCGACGCCGCGUGAGCGAUGAAGCCCUUCGGGGCGUAAAGCUCUUUCGACCGGAACGAUAAUGACGGUACCGGGAGAAGAAGCUGCGGCUAACUACGUGCCAGCAGCCGCGGUAAUACGUAGGCAGCAAGCGUUGUUCGGAGUUACUGGGCGUAAAGAGUGCGUAGGCGGUUUUCUAAGUUCGGUGUGAAAUCUCCCGGCUUAACUGGGAGGGUGCGCCGAAGACUGGGAAGCUGGAGUGUGGGAAAGGCAGGCGGAAUUCCUGGUGUAGCGGUGAAAUGCGUAGAUAUCAGGAGGAACACCGGCGGUGUAGACGGCUUGCUAGACCAUAACUGACGCUGAGGCACGAAAGCGUGGGUAGCAAACA
Molecule: ribosomal RNA, 402 nt
Filed under: uncultured bacterium
Lineage: Bacteria
Description: bacterial SSU rRNA
Rfam family: Bacterial small subunit ribosomal RNA
Source: RNAcentral